RNAcentral lists this transfer RNA (59 nucleotides) under Stilpnonotus mexicanus. RNAcentral's name for it is "tRNA-Trp". Lineage: Eukaryota; Metazoa; Arthropoda; Insecta; Coleoptera; Mycteridae. The record is from RNAcentral.
AACAGCGUAAUUUUCUUAAAGAGUUCAAAUCGAUAAGAAAGAUUGCGACCUCGAUGUUG